This 496-nucleotide ribosomal RNA is filed under the name Lasius niger. Its description in RNAcentral is "partial 16S ribosomal RNA". The record is from RNAcentral. Lineage: Eukaryota; Metazoa; Arthropoda; Insecta; Hymenoptera; Formicidae.
GGUUUUUUGAAUUAUAAUUUAAGAUUAGUUCUGCUCAAUGAUUUGAAAUUAAAUAGCCGCAGUAUUUUGACUGUGCUAAGGUAGCAUAAUCAAUUGUUUUUUAAUUAAGAACUGGAAUGAAGGAAUUGAUGAGAUUAAGACUGUCUAAUAUAAAAUGUUAAAAUUUAAAUUUUAAGUAAUAAUUCUUAAAUAAAAUUAUGGGACGAGAAGACCCUAUAGAAUUUGAUAUAAUUUUUUAAAAUAAAUAUAAAAUAAGAUUUAAUAAAAUUAAUAUUUUAUUGGGAGGAUAAUUAAAUUAAAUUAACUUUAAAAUUAAAAUUGAACAUUAAUUUAUGAUAAUAAUUGAAUAAUUUUAUAAUAAUAAUUAAAAUUAAUUAAAAAUUAAUUACCUUAGGGAUAACAGCGUAAUAUUUUUAAAAAGACCAUAUUGAUAAAAGUGUUUGCGACCUCGAUGUUGAAUUAAAAUAAAAAUUAAAUGAAGAAGUUUAAUAUUUUA